Molecule: long non-coding RNA, 532 nt
Organism: Acanthopagrus latus (yellowfin seabream)
Lineage: Eukaryota; Metazoa; Chordata; Actinopteri; Spariformes; Sparidae
Exons: 2
Source: RefSeq, a predicted model, not a curated record
GGCUGAAUCCCAUUUCACCACUUGGCCCUACCCCUCCGUUUUGCACGUUCACGUGUAGGAGUAGGUGUGUCCCAAUUCCCCUUAGGAUGGAGGGUUAGGGGGAAGCGGUAGGGCUAUAUACCCCUUCAAAUGGAGGUUUUCCAGAGGCACGCUCCAAACGGAGGGCUACCACAGAUUGUCCAGAAUGCACUGCAAAUCACCGGAAAUAUGGCUGCUACCAUGAAAGAAGUUCACAAAUAUUGCCUACUGACGCUGUAGCUUGUGUUUGCUGCUGCUUUGCCUGCCUAUGGAUUCAGCCUGCACGUUGUCUAAUCUCCUGUGCUUCCCUGCCAAGCGAGUACGCUCGAGAAGACAGCCCGCACCACGCCUCGCCACGCCACGCCACGCCACGCCACGCCACGCCACGCCACGACACCUUCACCCUCGUCACUCCUGGUGAUUCUACAAGACACGUCAGGACCCUGGGACCUCGCACCACCUCUCGCAUUAUUUUCACCUUGCUGUUCAUUAAAAGAAUUAUUAUUCACUGUCA